RNAcentral lists this ribosomal RNA (465 nucleotides) under uncultured bacterium. RNAcentral's name for it is "partial 16S ribosomal RNA". It matches the Rfam family "Bacterial small subunit ribosomal RNA", at positions 28 to 507 of the family's 1533-position model. The record is from RNAcentral.
GACGAACGCUGGCGGCGUGCUUAACACAUGCAAGUCGAACGGAAAGGCCCUGCUUGCAGGGUACUCGAGUGGCGAACGGGUGAGUAACACGUGGGUGAUCUGCCCUGCACUUCGGGAUAAGCCUGGGAAACUGGGUCUAAUACCGGAUAGGAGCCAUUUUUAGUGUGAUGGUUGGAAAGUUUUUUCGGUGUAGGAUGAGCUCGCGGCCUAUCAGCUUGUUGGUGGGGUAAUGGCCUACCAAGGCGGCGACGGGUAGCUGGCCUGAGAGGGUGGACGGCCACAUUGGGACUGAGAUACGGCCCAGACUCCUACGGGAGGCAGCAGUGGGGAAUAUUGCACAAUGGGCGCAAGCCUGAUGCAGCGACGCCGCGUGGGGGAGGACGGCCUUCGGGUUGUAAACGCCUUUCGCUAGGGACGAAGCUUUUUGUGACGGUACCUAGAUAAGAAGCACCGGCUAACUACGUG